This 516-nucleotide unclassified non-coding RNA is filed under the name uncultured Glomeromycotina. RNAcentral describes it as "SSU rRNA". It matches the Rfam family "Eukaryotic small subunit ribosomal RNA", at positions 571 to 1092 of the family's 1831-position model. The record is from RNAcentral. Lineage: Eukaryota; Fungi; Glomeromycota.
CAGCCGCGUAAUUCCAGCUCCAAUAGCGUAUAUUAAAGUUGUUGCAGUUAAAAAGCUCGUAGUUGAAUUUCGGGAUCAGUAUGUUGGUCGUGCUUCGGUACGUACUGUCAUUACUGGUUUCUACCUUCUGAAGAACCUUGAUGUCAUUAAUUUGGUGUCUUGGGAAAUCAGGACUGUUACUUUGAAAAAAUUAGAGUGUUUAAAGCAAGCAUACGCUUGAAUACAUUAGCAUGGAAUAAUGAAAUAGGACGUUUGAUUCUAUUUUGUUGGUUUCUAGGAUCGACGUAAUGAUUAAUAGGGAUAGUUGGGGGCAUUAGUAUUCAAUUGUCAGAGGUGAAAUUCUUGGAUUUAUUGAAGACUAACUACUGCGAAAGCAUUUGCCAAGGAUGUUUUCAUUAAUCAAGAACGAAAGUUAGGGGAUCGAAGACGAUCAGAUACCGUCGUAGUCUUAACCAUAAACUAUGCCGACUAGGGAUCGGAUGAUGUUAUUUUUAAUGACUCAUUCGGCGCCUUACG